This 206-nucleotide ribosomal RNA is filed under the name uncultured bacterium. RNAcentral's name for it is "partial 16S ribosomal RNA". It matches the Rfam family "Bacterial small subunit ribosomal RNA", at positions 568 to 774 of the family's 1533-position model. The record is from RNAcentral.
UGCGUAGGCGGUUUAUCAAGUCAGGGGUGAAAGGCUACGGCUCAACCGUAGUGAGCCUCUGAAACUGGUGAACUUGAGUGUAGGAGAGGAAAGUGGAAUUCCCAGUGUAGCGGUGAAAUGCGUAGAUAUUGGGAGGAACACCAGUGGCGAAGGCGACUUUCUGGACUACAACUGACGCUGAGGCACGAAAGCGCGGGGAGCAAACA